Molecule: ribosomal RNA, 406 nt
Filed under: uncultured bacterium
Lineage: Bacteria
Description: partial 16S ribosomal RNA
Rfam family: Bacterial small subunit ribosomal RNA
Source: RNAcentral
AUUGAACGCUGGCGGCAGGCCUAACACAUGCAAGUCGAACGAGUGGCGGACGGGUGAGUAAUGUCUGGGAAACUGCCCGAUGGAGGGGGAUAACUACUGGAAACGGUAGCUAAUACCGCAUACCAUCGGAUGAGCCCAGAUGGGAUUCGCUAGUUGGUGGGGUAACGGCUCACCUAGGCGACGAUCCCUAGCUGGUCUGAGAGGAUGACCAGCCACACUGGAACUGAGACACGGUCCAGACUCCUACGGGAGGCAGCAGUGGGGAAUAUUGCACAAUGGGCGCAAGCCUGAUGCAGCCAUGCCGCGUGAAUGAAGAAGGCCUUAGGGUUGUAAAGUACUUUCAGCGGGGAGGCGUUAACCGCAGAAGAAGCACCGGCUAACUCCGUGCCAGCAGCCGCGGUAAUUC